RNAcentral lists this ribosomal RNA (317 nucleotides) under Austrarchaea nodosa. Its description in RNAcentral is "partial 12S ribosomal RNA". The record is from RNAcentral. Lineage: Eukaryota; Metazoa; Arthropoda; Arachnida; Araneae; Archaeidae.
AGGUAGUAAUAAAAUUUUCACAAACCUAUAUAUUUUGGCGGCAUUUUACCUAAUUAGAGGAACCUGUUUUUUAAUCGAUACCCCACGUUUAAUUUCACUUAUUUCCAUAGUUUAUAUACCGUCAUCUUCAAAUAAAUUUCAAAAAUACAAUUUAUAAAAUUACUCUAAAAAGAUAGAUCAAGGUGUAAUUUAUAUUUAAGCUAAAAUGGGUUACAUUAAACUUUAUUUAAGAAUUCAACAAUUAAAAAUACUGAUAAAAAAGGAUUUAAAAGUAAAAAUAAAAUAAAAUUUUACUUUGAAUAAGUAAAUAAAUGUGC